AUAUCAAUAAGCGGAGGAAAAGAAACUAACAAGGGUUCCCCUAGUAACGGCGAGUGAACAGGGAAGAGCUCAAAUUUGUAAUCUGGCUCCCUUUGGGUGUCCGAGUUGUAAUCUAUAGAAGCGUUUUCCGUGCUGGACCAUGUCCAAGUCCCUUGGAACAGGGUAUCAGAGGGUGACAAUCCCGUGCUUGACAUGACGACCAGUGCUCUGUGAUACGCUCUCUACGAGUCGAGUUGUUUGGGAAUGCAGCUCAAAAUGGGUGGUGAGUUCCAUCUAAAGCUAAAUAUUGGCGAGAGACCGAUAGCGAACAAGUACCGUGAGGGAAAGAUGAAAAGCACUUUGGAAAGAGAGUUAAACAGUAC
RNAcentral lists this ribosomal RNA (362 nucleotides) under uncultured fungus. RNAcentral describes it as "eukaryotic LSU rRNA". It matches the Rfam family "Eukaryotic large subunit ribosomal RNA", at positions 40 to 398 of the family's 3401-position model. Lineage: Eukaryota; Fungi. The record is from RNAcentral.